GGCGAACGGGUGAGUAACACGUGAGUAAUCUGCCCUUCACUCUGGGAUAGCCACCGGAAACGGUGAUUAAUACCGGAUACGACCACCGUGGGCAUCCACUGGUGGUGGAAACUUUUUGGGUGGGGGAUGUGCUCGCGGCCUAUCAGCUUGUUGGUGGGGUAAUGGCCUACCAAGGCUUCGACGGGUAGCCGGCCUGAGAGGGUGACCGGCCACACUGGGACUGAGACACGGCCCAGACUCCUACGGGAGGCAGCAGUGGGGAAUAUUGGACAAUGGGCGGAAGCCUGAUCCAGCAACGCCGCGUGAGGGAUGACGGCCUUCGGGUUGUAAACCUCUUUCAGCACCGACGAAGCGCAAGUGACGGUAGGUGCAGAAGAAGGACCGGCCAACUACGUGCCAGCAGCCGCGGUAAUACGUAGGGUCCGAGCGUUGUCCGGAAUUAUUGGGCGUAAAGGGCUCGUAGGCGGUUUGUCGCGUCGGGAGUGAAAACACCGGGCUUAACUCGGUGCUUGCUUUCGAUACGGGCAGACUUGAGGUAUGCAGGGGAGAACGGAAUUCCUGGUGUAGCGGUGAAAUGCGCAGAUAUCAGGAGGAACACCGGUGGCGAAGGCGGUUCUCUGGGCAUUACCUGACGCUGAGGAGCGAAAGUGUGGGGAGCGAACAGGAUUAGAUACCCUGGUA
Molecule: ribosomal RNA, 681 nt
Filed under: Nocardioides sp.
Lineage: Bacteria; Bacillati; Actinomycetota; Actinomycetes; Propionibacteriales; Nocardioidaceae
Description: bacterial SSU rRNA
Rfam family: Bacterial small subunit ribosomal RNA
Source: RNAcentral